UUGCCUUCGCCUCCGCCCAGCCUGGGGCCCAACCAUCAAAGCCUAGAUCACGGCCACGACACCUGCGCGAAGCAGCCUCCACCUCCGUUACGGCCACGAGCACCCGGUUCCAUGACCGCACACGGCAGCCUCGGCCUCCAUGGCCUGUGGGCGGCAACAAGCUGAGCCCGUGCAGAUCCAGGUCGGAAGACUGUAGAUCCGGCGAUAGCAGCACCGGAUCUGGCCGUCGAUGCCAACUCGCCCACGACCAGCAGGUGCCGGUGGUGGCAAGGAUGUCCGUCGGGUGAG
RNAcentral lists this long non-coding RNA (288 nucleotides) under Setaria italica (foxtail millet). Its description in RNAcentral is "long non-coding RNA (SITA_LNC001015)". Lineage: Eukaryota; Viridiplantae; Streptophyta; Magnoliopsida; Poales; Poaceae. The record is from RNAcentral.